CAUGCAAGUCGAACGGUAGAGGGGGCAACCCCUUGAGAGUGGCGAACGGGUGAGUAAUGUAUCGGAACGUGCCCAGUCGUGGGGGAUAACGUAGUGAAAAUUACGCUAAUACCGCAUACGAUCUAUGGAUGAAAGCGGGGGAUCGCAAGACCUCGCGCGAUUGGAGCGGCCGAUAUCAGAUUAGGUAGUUGGUGGGGUAAAGGCUCACCAAGCCAACGAUCUGUAGCUGGUCUGAGAGGACGACCAGCCACACUGGAACUGAGACACGGUCCAGACUCCUACGGGAGGCAGCAGUGGGGAAUUUUGGACAAUGGACGCAAGUCUGAUCCAGCCAUUCCGCGUGCAGGACGAAGGCCUUCGGGUUGUAAACUGCUUUUGUACGGAACGAAAAAGCUCUUAUUAAUACUAGGAGUCCAUGACGGUACCGUAAGAAUAAGCACCGGCUAACUACGUGCCAGCAGCCGCGGUAAUACGUAGGGUGCAAGCGUUAAUCGGAAUUACUGGGCGUAAAGCGUGCGCAGGCGGUUAUAUAAGACAGAUGUGAAAUCCCCGAGCUUAACUUGGGAACUGCAUUUGUGACUGUAUAGCUAGAGUACGGCAGAGGGGGAUGGAAUUCCGCGUGUAGCAGUGAAAUGCGUAGAUAUGCGGAGGAACACCGAUGGCGAAGGCAAUCCCCUGGGCCUGUACUGACGCUCAUGCACGAAAGCGUGGGGAGCAAACAGGAUUAGAUACCCUGGUAGUCCACGCCCUAAACGAUGUCAACUGGUUGUUGGGUC
RNAcentral lists this ribosomal RNA (776 nucleotides) under uncultured bacterium. Its description in RNAcentral is "bacterial SSU rRNA". It matches the Rfam family "Bacterial small subunit ribosomal RNA", at positions 54 to 829 of the family's 1533-position model. The record is from RNAcentral.